GUAGUGAAUGGCUCGGUUCGAGAAGCCGACGAAGGACGUGGCAAGCUGCGAUAAGCUUGGGCGAGGUGCAUGCAGCCUUUGAGCUCAAGAUUUCCGAAUGCGACUUCGUGAUCUGUUUCGACAGAUUAAUGCGAGAGCAUGGGCAUACGCGGUGAACUGAAACAUCUAAGUAGCCGCAGGACUAGAAAUCAAUUGAGAUUCCCUUAGUAGAGGCGAUCGGAAGGGGAAUUAUGCACAAACUGAACGAAGUUCCGAGAGGAUCUUUGGAUGUGGGUUUUGGCCGUCUUUGGAACCGAUUCUCCUAGGUAAAGUCUGCUGGAAAGCAGCACCAUAGAGAGUGAUAGUCUCGUAGUUAAUGGAGAAAACGUUCUUAGACGUGCCGAGAGUAGCAUGGGUUGGAAAUCCUGUGUGAACAUGGGAGGCACUACGUCUUCCAAUGCUGAAUACUUCUCGAGUCCGAUAGCGCACUAAGUACUGUGAAGGAAAGCUGAAAAGCACCCCUAGAAAGGGGUUGAAAAGAGCCUAAAACUAUCUGGUGGUAGGUUAGAUACGGCGUCAAAGCGUCGAAGCUCUUUAACAAACUUGGCGAGAGCCUCUAGUAGGACGGAGUGGAGCGGUGUCGUAUCAUCCGUUUUGAAAAACGGGGCAGGGAGUUUGUUGCCGUGGCGAGGCUAACCACCUUUCGGUGGAGAGUCACAGGGAAACCAAGAAGUCCGCAAUGCUUUGCAUGAGGGACCGCGUUUUAAUUAGCGUGAAGUCACCGCGACAUGAUCCGAAACCGGUCGAUCCUGGUCUGGCUAGGUUGAAGCGGCGCGAAAGCUCCGUGGAGGACCGGACCGCUGCUGCGAUGCAAGCGCUCGGAUAAGCUGGAUCAAGGGGUGAAAUGUCAAUCGAGAUCGGUGAUGGCUGGUUCCUCUCGAAAUGGACCGAAGUCCAGCCGUGGCCGAGGUUGUUGUACAGGUAAAGCAACCGAUUCUGGAAUACCGCCUCUUUGAGGCGGGCCCGGAGUCGAACUCAGAACUGUGCAACGCUGUAGACGCCACGAGUCAGGGGUUGCGGGUAAGCUGCAACUCCAAGAGGGAAAGAACCCACACCGGGGUUAAGGUCCCCAAGUACUGGCUAAGUGU
Molecule: ribosomal RNA, 1127 nt
Filed under: Nanohaloarchaea archaeon SW_4_43_9
Lineage: Archaea; Methanobacteriati; Methanobacteriota; Candidatus Nanohaloarchaea
Description: bacterial LSU rRNA
Rfam family: Archaeal large subunit ribosomal RNA
Source: RNAcentral